GGCAACGUAGCCAAGCGGUCUAAGGCACCAGGUUCAGGGCCACCUGAAUUCUACAUCCUGGUCAGUAAUGGGGCGUGGUCUCAGUAAUGAGGCGUGGGUUCGAAUCCCACCGUUGUCA
Molecule: non-coding RNA, 118 nt
Organism: Lasiosphaeria hispida
Lineage: Eukaryota; Fungi; Ascomycota; Sordariomycetes; Sordariales; Lasiosphaeriaceae
Source: the annotation of a GenBank genome assembly